Molecule: unclassified non-coding RNA, 218 nt
Filed under: uncultured Thelephoraceae
Lineage: Eukaryota; Fungi; Basidiomycota; Agaricomycetes; Thelephorales; Thelephoraceae
Description: sequence contains ITS2
Source: RNAcentral
ACACCUCAACUCUCACGGUUCGCCGUGAUGAGCUUGGACUCUGGGGGUUUGCCGGUCUACGAUCGGCUCCUCUAAAACGAAUCAGCUCGCCAGUGUUUGGUGGCGUCACGAGUGUGAUAACUAUCUACGCUUGCGAUUGCCCACCAGGUAACCCUCAGCAAUGGAGGUUCACUGGGGCUCACAAACAUGUCUCUCCUCAGCGAGGACAGCUUUUGAAC